UGAAGAGAAGGAUUUUAGUGCCUCAAGUAGCAGACAUAUUAAGACCUUUCGGGCGGGGCCAGCAAUGGCGGAGCGCGCAGUCUCUGUCUGAAACCGAAGACAUGCCACGCCACACCGCGACAGGGGCCCGUUAUUUUCGGAAAGGACCCCUUCGGCAGAAGGGACAAGAGACAGGCUGUUGCAUCUAGGUGAAGGGAAGUGCUUCAGACUGUGGCGGCUGUCUCAGCUUGGUGGUUACACAGAACAGCCCAAUGGCGACAGCGACUUCGGCCCGGAGUUUAGGUCACUGACAGCAGGUGAUGGUUAGCACAUGUUCAGAACAAAGAGCAUUACACUUUGUUGAAAAAUUGAAGGAUGUCUUAAUUUUUGUUUUAUAGAUUGUGGUUGAUGUACUCUGAAUUGGUUGAUAAGUCAAAUAUCAUUCUCAAGAAUGAUAGCCACUAAACCCGUAUCCCCUCUGC
Molecule: long non-coding RNA, 461 nt
Organism: Anguilla anguilla (European eel)
Lineage: Eukaryota; Metazoa; Chordata; Actinopteri; Anguilliformes; Anguillidae
Exons: 2
Source: RefSeq, a predicted model, not a curated record